Molecule: ribosomal RNA, 250 nt
Filed under: uncultured bacterium
Lineage: Bacteria
Description: partial 16S ribosomal RNA
Rfam family: Bacterial small subunit ribosomal RNA
Source: RNAcentral
GAGUGGCGAACGGGUGAGUAACACGUAGAUGAUCUACCUUUUAGUUGGGGAUAGCCCAUGGAAACAUGGAGUAAUACCGAAUAAUCUCUAAACCUCAUGUGGUUUUGAGGAAAGAACCGUUUGGUUCGCUGAAAGAUGAGUCUGCGCACUAUUAGCUUGUUGGUGGGGUAAAGGCCUACCAAGGCAACGACGGGUAGCUGGUCUGAGAGGAUGAUCAGCCACACUGGGACUGAGACACGGCCCAGACUCC